This 253-nucleotide ribosomal RNA is filed under the name uncultured bacterium. RNAcentral describes it as "partial 16S ribosomal RNA". It matches the Rfam family "Bacterial small subunit ribosomal RNA", at positions 524 to 776 of the family's 1533-position model. The record is from RNAcentral.
CACGGGGGGAGCAAGCGUUGUUCGGAAUCACUGGGCGUAAAGGGUGUCUAGGCGGUCAGGUAAGUGAGAUGUGAAAUGCCCCGGCUUACCCGGGGACCGGCAUCUCAUACUGUCUGGCUUGAGUAUGGGAGAGGAUGAGGGAAUUCCUGGUGUAGCGGUGAAAUGCGUAGAUAUCAGGAGGAACACCGGUGGCGAAAGCGCUCAUCUGGCCCAAUACUGACGCUGAGGCGCGAAAGCUAGGGGAGCAAACGGG